CUGCUCCUUGCGCCUCGUCUCCCAGCUCUGAGCACUGGCCGUGCGCCCUGCUCCUCCUCUUGCCUCCGCAGCUUCUCUGGGAAUGCUGCGACUUCCUCCUCGCAUUUGAACGUCCAACUCCAGCUCUUGGAGAGGACGCAGAGCUGGACCUUUCCAUGCUGGCUUCGACGCACAUUUUUACGCGUGAAUUGAUGCGCUCCCAUCAUUCCGGGCGGACCGCGCGGAUUUAAGCUUCUGUUACAUGCUGCCGUCCAAAGGAAUCCCAUAAGGCUUGGAAAAGAGUGACUAAUGUGACCCCUGGACCUCCCUGCUGAGCAUCAUGGGAUGUGGCACUUCUGUUGCUACUGAAAUGCAAGUAAAGCAACUGGAAACAGAUGAAGCCGUUAAAAGCCCCAGCCCGGCUCUCACAAUGAAGGCAGCUGUUUUGAUCCAGCGGUGGUACCGGCGCUACAUGGCCCGACUGGAGAUACGAAGGAGGUACACAUGGAACAUCUUUCAGUCCAUCGAAUAUGCUGGAGAACAGGACCAGCUACAGCUGUCCAGUUUCUUCACUUAUAUGCUGGACAAUUUCACCCACCUUAACGGAAACGGGCCUGACCUGAUCUCCCAGUUGUUGGAUCCCGUCAUCGACGCCUGGUUAGACAGAGAGACCUGCUACAAAACAAUCCCCAUCCCAGAGUCUUACACUGGACCUCGUAUUUUGUUUCCUCUGUCUGUCUCUGAUACAAACGCCCUCCUGAGUGCUUUUAAAGAGCAGCAGAUUCUACAUGCCAGGUAUGUCUUGCAGCUGCUCUACGAGAGCAAAAAGCUCCUCAAACAGAUGCCAAAUAUUGUCCAUUUGUCAACGUCCUACACCAAGGAGAUCACCAUAUGUGGCAAACCUGAAAACAUUUGUCAUUCUGAUGCUGUCAACACGUCAGGUGAUCUGCACGGCCAGCUGGAUGACUUGCUUCUGAUAUUCUAUAAGAAUGGUCUGCCUUCUGCUGAGACACCCUACAUCUUUAAUGGAGACUUUGUGGAUCGUGGGAAAAAGUCGGUAGAAGUUGUAAUCCUCCUACUUGCCUACCUUCUGCUUUACCCAGACCACAUGCAUCUGAACCGAGGAAACCACGAGGAUCACAUCAUGAACCUCAGAUACGGAUUCACAAAAGAAGUUAUGCAGAAGUAUAAGACUCAUGGCCAUGAGAUCCUCCAGCUGUUUCAGGACGUUUUCAGCCUUCUGCCCAUCGCAACAGUCAUUGAUGCAAAGAUCCUCAUUGUGCACGGAGGAAUUUCAGACCAGACUGAUCUGGAAUUGCUCAGCUCCAUAGAGCGGCACAAGGUGAAAUCUGCCCUGAGGUUUCCUAGACGCAGUUUGGAGCAGCUUGACAUCGGUCAGUCCCAUCGACUGGGCAAAAGAAUGAGGUCGACGGACAUCUCUCGUCCCAGCAGCACUCGUAGCUACAAUGGGAACCACAGGACCCCCACUCUGAGAAAGAGGAGAUGCAGGCUGAGCUGGCAAGAUAGCGGAGCCUCCACUUCGUCAUCUUCAUCCUCAUCGUCGUCCUGUUCUUCACUCUGCUCUCCUCGAACUCCCUCCUGCAUCUCACCUCAAACGUACCCCUCGUCUCCCAGCACACCCUGCAACGUCCUCCAGGUGCCUUUCCUGGACUCUCUGUCCUCUGUCCCUCUCCCAUCACCUCCACAACAGGAACGGGAAUGGAAACAGAUUGUGGAUAUAUUGUGGAGUGACCCUAAAACCCAGGAAGGCUGCAGCCCCAACUCUUUCAGAGGUGGAGGCUGCUACUUCGGCCCUGACGUUACUCAGAGGCUGCUGUACAAGCACGGACUGCAGCUGCUCAUCCGCUCUCAUGAGUGCAAACAGGAGGGUUACGAACUCUGUCAUAGCGGACGGGUGAUCACCAUCUUCUCAGCAUCAAACUACUAUGAGGAGGGAAGCAACCGUGGUGCUUACAUCAAACUGGGAAAGGAACUGGUGCCUCGCUUCUACCAGUACCAAGUCAGCCGCACAACCCGCAGGCUUACACUGACACAGAGAGUUCGUGCAGCUGAAGGCUCUGCUCUCAGAGCUCUAAAGGAGAAACUGUUCGCCCAUCGAUCUGAGCUGAUGACAGUCUUCCUGCAGUAUGACCCAAAUGAAACCGGUUGCGUGUCAGUCGGUGAAUGGGCCAAGGUGCUGGAAUCUGUCCUGAGACUGGACUUACCCUGGCGGACACUUCGUCCACACUUAGUCCAUCUGGCACCAGAUGGCAGUGUUGAGUAUCAGUCCUGCUUUGAGGAUGUGGGACCAGGAGCUCCUCUGCCUCAGGUUGCUCCCAACUUGGCUGAAACUCUGUUCAGAUACAGAACCGACAUCGAGAUCAUUUUCAACAUCAUAGACAAAGAUCAUUCAGGUCUGAUCUCCAUUGAGGAGUUUCGCCACACCUGGCGCCUUUUCAGCGCUCACCUGGGAGUUGCCAUUGACGACAGAGCCAUUGAUGAGCUGGCCCGCAGUAUCGACUUCAACAAGGACGGCAGCAUAGACUUCACAGAGUUCUUGGAGGCCUUCAGGGUGGUGCACAAACUGGACAUUAAAGAUCAUCAUCUGAGCGAAAACGUGCAUAAAGAGAAGUUUGUUUGAGUAUCUGAAAGAAGGCAAAAGAAAAGGAGACAUAAACUCGAUGCGAAGAGAUACACCUGGACUCCAAACGACUGCAACCUUCAGUGUUGAUUUUUGAAGUGAUUACAGACCCGGGCAUCCUGUCAGCUCGGGAGUUGGAGUUUUUUGAAGCAGUAGUUUUUAGACGUGUGUGAACACAAAGUCGAUGCAAGAAGUGUAGAAACUGUUUUAGCAAAGCUGACUGCAAUAUAAAGAGGUAAGGCUGUCUAAA
RNA transcript from Xiphophorus hellerii (green swordtail), 2870 nucleotides. It is a transcript of the gene named protein phosphatase, EF-hand calcium binding domain 1, with no coding region annotated. Lineage: Eukaryota; Metazoa; Chordata; Actinopteri; Cyprinodontiformes; Poeciliidae. The transcript is spliced from 21 exons. The record is from RefSeq and is a predicted model, not a curated record.